GUGUUGUAUAAAAGGAGAAAAGGUUAGCAGUCCCCUCGACAAGGAUGGAAGGGGGCUU
This is a small nuclear RNA of Balaenoptera musculus (blue whale), 58 nucleotides long. Lineage: Eukaryota; Metazoa; Chordata; Mammalia; Artiodactyla; Balaenopteridae. The record is from Ensembl.